RNAcentral lists this ribosomal RNA (403 nucleotides) under uncultured bacterium. Its description in RNAcentral is "bacterial SSU rRNA". It matches the Rfam family "Bacterial small subunit ribosomal RNA", at positions 355 to 774 of the family's 1533-position model. The record is from RNAcentral.
UGAGGAAUAUUGCACAAUGGGCGCAAGCCUGAUGCAGCGACGCCGCGUGCGGGACGAAGGCCUUCGGGUCGUAAACCGCUUUUCUGGGGGAAGAGCAAGGACGGUACCUCAGGAAUAAGUCUCGGCUAACUACGUGCCAGCAGCCGCGGUAAAACGUAGGAGGCGAGCGUUAUCCGGAUUUACUGGGCGUAAAGCGCACGCAGGCGGCUCUGUUAGUCGGACGUGAAAGCUCUCGGCUUAACCGGGAGAGGCCGUUCGAUACUGCGGGGCUUGAGGUAGGGAGAGGAAUGCGGAAUUCCCGGUGUAGUGGUGGAAUGCGUAGAUAUCGGGAGGAACACCUGUGGCGAAAGCGGCAUUCUGGCCCUCACCUGACGCUGAGGUGCGAAAGCGUGGGUAGCAAACA